GGCGAAGGCGGCCCCCUGGACAAAGACUGACGCUCAGGUGCGAAAGCGUGGGGAGCAAACAGGAUUAGAUACCCUGGUAGUCCACGCCGUAAACGAUGUCUACUUGGAGGUUGUGCCCUUGAGGCGUGGCUUCCGGAGCUAACGCGUUAAGUAGACCGCCUGGGGAGUACGGCCGCAAGGUUAAAACUCAAAUGAAUUGACGGGGGCCCGCACAAGCGGUGGAGCAUGUGGUUUAAUUCGAUGCAACGCGAAGAACCUUACCUGGUCUUGACAUCCACAGAACUUUCCAGAGAUGGAUUGGUGCCUUCGGGAACUGUGAGACAGGUGCUGCAUGGCUGUCGUCAGCUCGUGUUGUGAAAUGUUGGGUUAAGUCCCGCAACGAGCGCAAC
RNAcentral lists this ribosomal RNA (389 nucleotides) under Salmonella enterica. Its description in RNAcentral is "bacterial SSU rRNA". It matches the Rfam family "Bacterial small subunit ribosomal RNA", at positions 714 to 1102 of the family's 1533-position model. RNAcentral also lists the same sequence under 1 other name. The record is from RNAcentral. Lineage: Bacteria; Pseudomonadati; Pseudomonadota; Gammaproteobacteria; Enterobacterales; Enterobacteriaceae.